Oncorhynchus tshawytscha (Chinook salmon) is the source of this 493-nucleotide long non-coding RNA. Lineage: Eukaryota; Metazoa; Chordata; Actinopteri; Salmoniformes; Salmonidae. The record is from Ensembl.
CGGAAGAAUACCUAUGGGCAUCAGUGCUAAAGGAACUAACAUUGGACUAAGUGCUACCAUACGUAAUGCAAUGGCACUCUGUGUUAAGAUAGAUUGCACUCCCGACAAUCUUCCCCCAAACUGAGUGUCUAAAAGAGGUAUAAAAGGAGGAGAGAUCAGUGCCUAGGCAUGAUCCUCUACCCAUAUGAUUUGGACAUCAUAGAGGAUCAUCAGACCAGGACCUGUGCCCUAGUACCAUGCCUCAGGACUACCUGGCAUGAUGACUCCUUGCUGUCCCAAGUCCACCUGGCCGUGCUGCUGCUCCAGUUUCAACUGUUCUGCCUGCGGCUAUGGAACCCUGACCUGUUCACCGGACAUGCUACCUGUCCCAGACCUGCUGUUUUCAACUCCCUAGAGACAGCAGGAGCGACCCAACUGGAGAACUCAAGACCGCUAAAGAGAUUGUUGAACUCUACACCAGUUGUUUUGGAAGAGUGGUUUUGGAAGAGUGGGU